Molecule: ribosomal RNA, 776 nt
Filed under: uncultured Neocallimastigales
Lineage: Eukaryota; Fungi; Neocallimastigomycota; Neocallimastigomycetes; Neocallimastigales
Description: partial large subunit ribosomal RNA
Rfam family: Eukaryotic large subunit ribosomal RNA (bases 3-695)
Source: RNAcentral
UAGAUGCGAGAGUAGAGCAUAUCAAUAAGCGGAGGAAAAGAAACUAACUAGGAUUCCCUUAGUAACGGCGAGUGAAGCGGGAAGAGCUCAAAUUUGAAAUCUUCAAGGUUCUACCUUGACGAAUUGUAGUUUUAAAGAAGUGUUUUCUGUUGGAGUUUUGGUAAAAGUUCUUUGGAAUAGGACAUCAUAGAGGGUGAGAAUCCCGUAUUUGACCAUUUCUUCCAGCUGUGUGAUACACUUUCAAAGAGUCGGAUUGUUUGGGAAUGCAGUCCAAAAUGGGUGGUAAAUUUCAUCUAAAGCUAAAUAUUGGCGAGAGACCGAUAGCGAACAAGUACCGUGAGGGAAAGAUGAAAAGAACUUUGAAAAGAGAGUUAAACAGUACGUGAAAUUGUCAAAAGGGAAGCGUUUGACACCAGUGUUGUUUUCUCGAAAAUCAAUAAAAAUGGCUGGACUUUGUGUUGUACUGACUUUAUCAGCUUUCUGCACUUUUUUCUUAGUCUUUUUUAAUGCACUUUUCGUUUAACAAGUCAACAUCAAUUUCUUUUGUUGAUAAAAGAGUCAUUGGAAGGUGGCUUUUUCUUCGGAAAAAGUGUUUAUAGCCUUUGGCUUCUGCAAUCGGAGAGAUUGAGGUCUGCAGCGUAGAUCCUUCGGGGUUAGAUACAUUUGUGCUAAGCUAUAGUUCUUUAUAGACAACUUGUUGACUAUAAUCAAUCCUGUAACUUACUCGCUUAUGCUAUUUUACCUACGCUUAGGAUGUUGACGCGCGUGUGUGCGUG